This 88-nucleotide small nucleolar RNA is filed under the name Zostera marina. RNAcentral's name for it is "Small nucleolar RNA snoR26". It matches the Rfam family "Small nucleolar RNA snoR26". The record is from Rfam by way of RNAcentral. Lineage: Eukaryota; Viridiplantae; Streptophyta; Magnoliopsida; Alismatales; Zosteraceae.
UCGGCAUCUGUGAUGUUAUCCUAGUUUAUCAUCCUUGCACUUUGACUGUGAAUGAAGAAAAUCACGGGGAAGAAAAACUGAGAUGCCA